AACGAACGCUGGCGGCAGGCCUAACACAUGCAAGUCGAGCGAGACCUUCGGGUCUAGCGGCGGACGGGUUAGUAACGCGUGGGAACGUGCCCUUCUCUGCGGAAUAGCCACUGGAAACGGUGAGUAAUACCGCAUACGCCCUUCGGGGAAAGAUUUAUCGGAGAAGGAUCGGCCCGCGUUAGAUUAGAUAGUUGGUGGGGUAACGGCCUACCAAGUCUACGAUCUAUAGCUGGUUUUAGAGGAUGAUCAGCAACACUGGGACUGAGACACGGCCCAGACUCCUACGGGAGGCAGCAGUGGGGAAUCUUAGACAAUGGGCGCAAGCCUGAUCCAGCCAUGCCGCGUGAGUGAUGAAGGCCUUAGGGUCGUAAAGCUCUUUCGCCAGAGAUGAUAAUGACAGUAUCUGGUAAAGAAGUCCCGGCUAACUCCGUG
RNAcentral lists this ribosomal RNA (432 nucleotides) under uncultured bacterium. RNAcentral's name for it is "bacterial SSU rRNA". It matches the Rfam family "Bacterial small subunit ribosomal RNA", at positions 29 to 507 of the family's 1533-position model. The record is from RNAcentral.